Molecule: transfer RNA, 69 nt
Filed under: Methylobacterium indicum
Lineage: Bacteria; Pseudomonadati; Pseudomonadota; Alphaproteobacteria; Hyphomicrobiales; Methylobacteriaceae
Description: tRNA-Arg
Source: RNAcentral
CGCGGGCCUGGCUCGGCGAGUUCGUGGCUUUCGGCGCCACCGCGGCCGCGCUCGGCCUGCGGCUCGCGG